CAACUACUCCCUCUUUCCCAAAUUUCUUGUCUUAGAUUUGUCUAGAUACGGAUGUAUCUAUACUAAAAUGUGACUUGAUACAUCUGUAUCUAGACAAAUCUAAGACAAGAAUUUUGGGACGGAGGGAGUACUUU
Non-coding RNA from Triticum aestivum (bread wheat), 134 nucleotides. The record is from Rfam. Lineage: Eukaryota; Viridiplantae; Streptophyta; Magnoliopsida; Poales; Poaceae.